Molecule: ribosomal RNA, 494 nt
Filed under: uncultured Desulfobulbus sp.
Lineage: Bacteria; Pseudomonadati; Thermodesulfobacteriota; Desulfobulbia; Desulfobulbales; Desulfobulbaceae
Description: bacterial SSU rRNA
Rfam family: Bacterial small subunit ribosomal RNA
Source: RNAcentral
CAGAAACUCAAAGGAAUUGACGGGGGCCGCACAAGCGGUGGAGUAUGUGGUUUAAUUCGAUGCAACGCGAAGAACCUUACCUGGUCUUGACAUCCCAGAAAUCCCUUGGAAACUUUGGGAGUGCUUCCAUUAGGAAGAAUCUGGAGACAGGUGCUGCAUGGCUGUCGUCAGCUCGUGUCGUGAGAUGUUGGGUUAAGUCCCGCAACGAGCGCAACCCUUGCCUUUAGUUGCCAGCAGUUCGGCUGGGCACUCUAAAGGGACUGCCGGUGUUAAACCGGAGGAAGGUGGGGAUGACGUCAAGUCCUCAUGGCCUUUAUGACCAGGGCUACACACGUACUACAAUGGCCGAUACAAAGGGCAGCGACAUUGCGAAAUGAAGCCAAUCCCAUAAAUUCGGUCUCAGUCCGGAUUGGAGUCUGCAACUCGACUCCAUGAAGUUGGAAUCGCUAGUAAUCGUGGAUCAGCAUGCCACGGUGAAUACGUUCCCGGGCCUU